RNAcentral lists this ribosomal RNA (470 nucleotides) under Aleyrodes proletella. RNAcentral describes it as "partial large subunit ribosomal RNA". The record is from RNAcentral. Lineage: Eukaryota; Metazoa; Arthropoda; Insecta; Hemiptera; Aleyrodidae.
CUCAAUGAAAUUAAUUAAAUAGCCGCAGUAAAUUAACUGUGCUAAGGUAGCAUAAUAAUUAGUUUUUUAAUUAAAAACUAGAAUGAAAGAGAAAAUGAAAAAUUAACUUUUUAAUUAUAAUAAAUAAAUAUAAAUUAAUUUAUAAGUUAAAAAUCUUAUAUAAAAUAAAAAGACAAGAAGACCCUUUAGAAUUUUAUAAAUAAAAAAAUUUAAUAAUUAUAAAUUUGAAUAUUUAUUAAGUUGGGGAGACUAUGAAAUAUUAAAAACUUUCACUUUUUUAAAACAAAAAUAAAUGAAUCUAUAAAUAUCCAGUUAACAGCCGAAUAAAAAACAAAUUACCUAAGGGAUAACAGCGUAAAAUUUCUAAAAAGAUCAAAUUUACAGAAUAAAUUACGACCUCGAUGUUGGAUUAAGAAAAAAUUAUAAAGAAGAAUUUAUAAAAAUUAGGUCUGUUCGACCUUUAAUCUCUU